RNAcentral lists this long non-coding RNA (378 nucleotides) under Triticum aestivum (bread wheat). Its description in RNAcentral is "long non-coding RNA (TAES_LNC013517)". Lineage: Eukaryota; Viridiplantae; Streptophyta; Magnoliopsida; Poales; Poaceae. The record is from RNAcentral.
AUUUUUCCAGUAAUUUUGUUGCCUGAUAGAAGCUUUUUCCUUUGGGACAACCAGGUAUGAAGAAGCCUUUUCCUUUGGGAUAACCAGGUAUCAAGAAAAAUCAACAACAAGCACAGAGAAGUGUUUCAAAGUCUAAGCGACCAAUAUAUUGUCUAUCAGUCCGCACGAACAGAUUUAUGAUCCGUGAAUUGAACAGUGGGCCUCCACUAGUUUGUGCUGUCUUGGCUUUGGUCCCCUCACGAAGAUCCCACAGCAACCAUAGUAGAGUCCCAGAAUAUAGCAAGGAUGAGCCUUGACCUCAGAUGGUACACAGUAAAGCAAAUGGCAACUAACUAGGGAGUGACAGAUGGAGACUGAAUGCAGUAAAGAUGGUUGACC